Molecule: ribosomal RNA, 496 nt
Filed under: uncultured bacterium
Lineage: Bacteria
Description: partial 16S ribosomal RNA
Rfam family: Bacterial small subunit ribosomal RNA
Source: RNAcentral
GAUGAACGCUGGCGGCGUGCCUAAUACAUGCAAGUCGAGCGAACAGACGAGGAGCUUGCUCCUCUGACGUUAGCGGCGGACGGGUGAGUAACACGUGGAUAACCUACCUAUAAGACUGGGAUAACUUCGGGAAACCGGAGCUAAUACCGGAUAAUAUAUUGAACCGCAUGGUUCAAUAGUGAAAGACGGUUUUGCUGUCACUUAUAGAUGGAUCCGCGCCGCAUUAGCUAGUUGGUAAGGUAACGGCUUACCAAGGCAACGAUGCGUAGCCGACCUGAGAGGGGGAUCGGCCAAACUGGAACUGAGACACGGUCCAGAACCCUACGGGAGGCAGCAGUAGGGAAUUUUCCGCAAGGGGCGAAAGCCUGACGGAGAAACGCCGCGUGGGUGAGGAAGGUUUUCGGAACGAAAAACUCUGUUAUUAGGGAAAAAAAAAUGGGUAGGUAAAUAGGCACGUUUUGACGGUACCAAAUCAGAAAGCAACGGAUAAAUACGU